UACGAAGGAUCCAAGCGUUAUCCGGAUUUAUUGGGUUUAAAGGGUGCGUAGGCGGGUUAUUAAGUCAGUGGUGAAAGCCCCAAGCUUAACUUGGGAACUGCCAUUGAUACUGAUGGUCUUGAGUACACUUGAGGUGGGCGGAAUGUGUCAUGUAGCGGUGAAAUGCUUAGAUAUGACACAGAACACCGAUUGCGAAGGCAGCUCACUAAAUUGUAACUGACGCUGAGGCACGAAAGCGUGGGGAGCAAACAGG
Molecule: ribosomal RNA, 253 nt
Filed under: uncultured bacterium
Lineage: Bacteria
Description: partial 16S ribosomal RNA
Rfam family: Bacterial small subunit ribosomal RNA
Source: RNAcentral